Molecule: transfer RNA, 73 nt
Filed under: Stegodyphus mimosarum
Lineage: Eukaryota; Metazoa; Arthropoda; Arachnida; Araneae; Eresidae
Rfam family: tRNA
About the family: Transfer RNA (tRNA) molecules are approximately 80 nucleotides in length.
Source: Rfam by way of RNAcentral
GCCUUCGUGGUGUAAUGGUCAGCACACUCGGCUCGUAAUCGAGAUGUCAGAGGUUCGAGUCCCGGCAAGGGCG